CCAAGAGCGGAGAUUAAAGUGGUUGCAGUUAAAAAGCUCGUAGUUGAAUUUCGGGGUUAGUAGGCUGGUCAUGCCUCUGGUAUGUACUGGUCUCACUGAUUCCUCCUUCCUGAUGAACCGUAAUGCCAUUAAUUUGGUGUUGCGGGGAAUUUGGACUGUUACUUUGAAAAAAUUAGAGUGUUUAAAGCAAGCUAACGCUUGAAUACAUUAGCAUGGAAUAAUGAAAUAGGACGUUCGAUCCUAUUUUGUUGGUUUCUAGGAUUGACGUAAUGAUUAAUAGGGAUAGUUGGGGGCAUUAGUAUUCAAUUGUCAGAGGUGAAAUUCUUGGAUUUAUUGAAGACUAACUACUGCGAAAGCAUUUGCCAAGGAUGUUUUCAUUAAUCAAGAACGAAAGUUAGGGGAUCGAAGACGAUCAGAUACCGUCGUAGUCUUAACCAUAAACUAUGCCGACUAGGGAUCGGAUGAUGUUAAUUUUUUAAUGACUCAUUCGGCGCCUUACG
This 500-nucleotide ribosomal RNA is filed under the name uncultured Glomeromycotina. Its description in RNAcentral is "partial small subunit ribosomal RNA". It matches the Rfam family "Eukaryotic small subunit ribosomal RNA", at positions 591 to 1092 of the family's 1831-position model. The record is from RNAcentral. Lineage: Eukaryota; Fungi; Glomeromycota.